CAUGUUAAUAAUUAAGUUUCUUUCAAUCUGCGACACUAGCACCACAUUCACUUUUUCUUUGUGCUUUGUCAACUCCUAAAGGAUUUUAAUUUUGAUGAACCCUUUUGUGCAGGUAUAAGGCAAAGACAGCAGCUGCAGUCAAAGUUCCAGGGUUUCAAUUUGAGAGUUCUUCAUCAGACUGUCAACUGAGGACUAUGACUUUGACAAUGCUUUUGGGGUUCUCUGCAGUAUACGCAGGUUUUAAGUUCUGAUUUUUAGUGAAGAUGCUACUAAGCUUCCUCUGCCAUAUCCUAAAGUCGGAUAUCUUACUGUACCACCAGUACGGAAACCAAUUGCACGUCAUAGUGAUUGGCUAUGACCACAAUUUAUUUUGAACAAUGAAGGACUUCAACAGCAGGUCACCAAAGGUGACGAAAAGCAAGCAGAAGAUCAGGAGAUACAGCUAUGAAAGUUAAUAUUCCAGAUAUAUAUUCUGUUACAGUUUGCCAGCAGAUAUG
Long non-coding RNA from Rosa chinensis, 497 nucleotides. RefSeq lists it as uncharacterized. The record is from RefSeq and is a predicted model, not a curated record. Lineage: Eukaryota; Viridiplantae; Streptophyta; Magnoliopsida; Rosales; Rosaceae. The transcript is spliced from 4 exons.